AAAGCUGUAAUAGCACCUAAUUUCGACUUAGUUUAUGAGAGUAAAAGCCCUCUCUGUUUAUUAAUU
Molecule: transfer RNA, 66 nt
Filed under: Pseudostenophylax fumosus
Lineage: Eukaryota; Metazoa; Arthropoda; Insecta; Trichoptera; Limnephilidae
Description: tRNA-Arg
Source: RNAcentral